RNAcentral lists this transfer RNA (36 nucleotides) under Polymyxa betae. Its description in RNAcentral is "tRNA-Lys". Lineage: Eukaryota; Endomyxa; Phytomyxea; Plasmodiophorida; Plasmodiophoridae. The record is from RNAcentral.
AGCCCACGGCGGGGCUCGAACCCGCAGCCUUGGGAU